Molecule: ribosomal RNA, 694 nt
Filed under: Hygrocybe aff. prieta CFMR BZ-3079
Lineage: Eukaryota; Fungi; Basidiomycota; Agaricomycetes; Agaricales; Hygrophoraceae
Description: eukaryotic LSU rRNA
Rfam family: 5.8S ribosomal RNA (bases 254-407)
Source: RNAcentral
UAGAGGAAGUAAAAGUCGUAACAAGGUUUCCGUAGGUGAACCUGCGGAAGGAUCAUUACUGAAGUGCUUGAAGAUGUUGCUGGCUUCCUGCGGGAGGCAAUGUGCACUCUUUCAAUCCUCACAACUUCCUUCAUCACCCUUGUGCACUCUCUGUAGGGUUUUCCCCCCCUUUUAGGAGGGGGGGACCCUAUGUUGUUUUUUUCCCUUCCACGCAUGCAUUGAAUGUGUAUGGUAAAUAAAACAAAUUUGAAACAACUUUCAACAAUGGAUCUCUUGGCUCUCGCAUCGAUGAAGAACGCAGCGAAAUGCGAUACGUAAUGUGAAUUGCAGAAUUCCGUGAAUCAUUGAAUCUUUGAACGCAUCUUGCGCCUCUUGGUACUCCGAGGGGCAUGCCUGUUUGAGUGUCAUUGAAAAAUUCAAAGGCUUCCCUCUUUUACCGCGGGUUGCUUUUGGAAUUUGAGGGCCUGUGCUGGCCACUUGCGAAUGCAAGCCCAGCUCCCUUCAAAUGAAUUAGCGAUGGCUGAUGCCUUCUCAAGCCGUGCUCGUUUCUGGCAUUGAUAGACCUUCAUGCCCGAGAUCCCUAGCAGGUUAGAGGUUGCGACCAUGGCUUACAACGGUCCCUGCAUUGGACAACAGCCACAAACUUGGCCUCAAAUCAGGUAGGACUACCCGCUGAACUUAAGCAUAUCAAUAA